GUAGGUGAACCUGCGGAAGGAUCAUUAAUGAAAUGCAAGGACGCUCUUUUUAGAGGUCCGACCAACUCAUUUACCUUUACACUGUGCACAUACUACUUUUUUACACCAAUUUUUAACGCAUUAGUUUAAGAAUGUAAAAUCAGUCUCGAAAGAGCAUAAAAUAAAUAAAACUUUCAGCAACGGAUCUCUUGGCUCUCGCAUCGAUGAAGAACGCAGCGAAAUGCGAUACGUAAUGUGAAUUGCAGAAUUCAGUGAAUCAUCGAAUCUUUGAACGCACCUUGCACUCUUUGGUAUUCCGAAGAGUAUGUCUGUUUGAGUGUCAUGAAACUCUCAACCCCCUCAUUUUGUAAUGAAAUGUGUAGCGUGGGCUUGGUUUAUGGCUGUCUGUCGGCGUAAAUGCCGGCUCAGCUGAAAUAUACGAGCAACCCAGUUUAAAUACUUGACGGCUUGACUCGGCGUAAUAACUAUUUCGCUGAGGACGUCUAACCUUUAAAUCGUUAGUGGUGCUUCUAAUGCAUUAAUCAUUUUAAGCUUUAGACCUCAAAUCAGUCAGGACUACCCGCUGAACUUAAGCAUAUCAAUAAGC
This 586-nucleotide ribosomal RNA is filed under the name [Rhodotorula] sp. 'chungnamensis'. RNAcentral's name for it is "eukaryotic LSU rRNA". The stretch from base 169 to 322 matches the Rfam family "5.8S ribosomal RNA". Lineage: Eukaryota; Fungi; Basidiomycota; Cystobasidiomycetes; Symmetrosporaceae. The record is from RNAcentral.